UGACAACGCCGCCCACCAUGAGUCCAAUGAUGGCACCUUUGUUUGAACCCACAUCUUCUGCAAAGAACACCUUGAAAACAAAUCAAGAAAAAGGACUGUAAUGGCAGGUGACAACCGGAGAAGAGCGACAACAGCAAUCAUUCAACAGCGAUGCCAUCAACGGAAUGACAUGAUAGGACAAUCCUGGGAAGAGUCUCUAAGUCUGGAAAGUCUAAAGAUAUACUUUAGCACAUUAGACUCAAGCAUGCGGUCUCCUGAAGUGUGAUGUUGGAAGAACCAGAACUAAUGCUACGAACGUAGCGGGGAAUUGGUCCAGAUGCUUGGGAGACUCACUUAUCUGCAGGUUAGAGAGGCCAUUGAUGAAGGAAGGGGACAGCGUCUGCUCAAGCGCACGAUGCGGAGACAUAGAAGUAACCGGGUUAUACCUGGUCGGGUGGUCAGUCCUCGGUCGGCAGCAGGGCGGGCGUCGACAGGCUCAACUGGGCACAGGAAGCAAGAAACACGGAAAGCAAACAAGACAAAUCAAGAUGGUAAGUGGUGGCUCCUGAACGCAGGGCAGGGCAAAGCAUGCGAAAUACGCAAGUUCUAAAAAAAGGAGCCGCUGGAAAAGAACCACAGUGAGUUAAUCCUGAGUAUCAAGGAACAGGGGAGGGGUACCACCUCAAAAGGCUUCUCGCUAUCGAUGGGCCAACCCUACUACUUAGUUUUCUCAUAAAAGCACCCACCA
Molecule: long non-coding RNA, 727 nt
Organism: Felis catus (domestic cat)
Lineage: Eukaryota; Metazoa; Chordata; Mammalia; Carnivora; Felidae
Exons: 3
Source: RefSeq, a predicted model, not a curated record